Molecule: ribosomal RNA, 435 nt
Filed under: Triticum aestivum (bread wheat)
Lineage: Eukaryota; Viridiplantae; Streptophyta; Magnoliopsida; Poales; Poaceae
Description: partial small subunit ribosomal RNA
Source: RNAcentral
AUGACAAUCGUUCCAGCAAUGCCGACAAGCACACAUUUGCACACCAUCACAAGCAACACUCAAGCAGAUAAAACAGCCGCCGAUACUGAAGUGAAUGAUGAAACUGAUGAUAAAGCACAAGGGGAUGAAGAUGGUGGGCAAUCAGAAAUCAUGGUACCUCAGCCGCCGUAUGUUGGACAGAGAUUUGAUUCGUUCGAAGAUGCCAAAGAAUUCUACCAGAGAUAUGCAAUGUUCCAUGGGUUUGCGGUCAACACCAAAUACCAUAGGAAAAUUAAAAAAACUAGGGAGUACAGUAGAGGUGAGAUGAGGUGCUACAAAGCCCGAAGGAACAAGAAGGGUAAAGGUGUUGCGCCUGUCAUUCCGGAACAAAAAAGAGGUAUCAUUGUCAAGACGGAAUGCCCUGUCCAGUGUAAGCUAAAUGUAGACGAAGCAUGA